UGCCCACUGAUUUAAUUAAAGGGCUGCAGUAAUUUGACUGUACAAAGGUAGCAUAAUCAUUAGUCAUUUAAUUGGUGACUUGUAUGAAGGAUUGGAUGAAAUAUAAACUGUCUUUUUAUUAAAUUAUAUAAUUUAAUUUUUUAAUUAAAAAGUUAAAAUGAUUUAAAAAGACGAGAAGACCCUAUAGAGUUUUAUUGAUUGUUAGGUUGUUGUUAUUUAGUAAAAGUAAAUUUGAAUUUAAUAUUUAAUUUUAUUGGGGUGAUAGAAAAAUUAAAUUAACUUUUUUUUUAUUUAUUACAUAAAUAAGUGAAUUGUUGAUCCAUUUUUAGUGAUUAUAAGAAAAAAUUACCUUAGGGAUAACAGCGUAAUUUUUUUUUUUAGUUCAAAUAAGAAAAAAAGUUUGCGACCUCGAUGUUGGAUUAAGAUAAAAUUUAGGCGCAGAAGUUUAAAAUUUUUGA
RNAcentral lists this ribosomal RNA (458 nucleotides) under Ilema costalis. Its description in RNAcentral is "partial large subunit ribosomal RNA". The record is from RNAcentral. Lineage: Eukaryota; Metazoa; Arthropoda; Insecta; Lepidoptera; Erebidae.